AAAUUGAAGAGUUUGAUCAUGGCUCAGAUUGAACGCUGGCGGCAGGCCUAACACAUGCAAGUCGAACGGUAACAGGAAGAAGCUUGCUUCUUUGCUGACGAGUGGCGGACGGGUGAGUAAUAUCUGGGAAACUGCCUGAUGGAGGGGGAUAACUACUGGAAACGGUAGCUAAUA
RNAcentral lists this ribosomal RNA (174 nucleotides) under Escherichia coli. RNAcentral describes it as "partial 16S ribosomal RNA". It matches the Rfam family "Bacterial small subunit ribosomal RNA", at positions 1 to 168 of the family's 1533-position model. Lineage: Bacteria; Pseudomonadati; Pseudomonadota; Gammaproteobacteria; Enterobacterales; Enterobacteriaceae. The record is from RNAcentral.